CCUACGGGGGGCAGCAGUGGGGAAUUUUGCACAAUGGGGGAAACCCUGAUGCAGCAACGCCGCGUGAGUGAUGACGGCCUUCGGGUUGUAAAGCUCUGUCUUCAGGGACGAUAAUGACGGUACCUGAGGAGGAAGCCACGGCUAACUACGUGCCAGCAGCCGCGGUAAUACGGGGGAUGCGAGCGUUAUCCGGCUUUAUUGGGUUAAAAGGGUGCGGAGGCGGAUUUUUAAGUCAGCGGUCAAAUCGUGGGGCUCAACCCCAUCCAGCCGUUGAAAUUGGGGAUCUAGAGUGUGCGAGAGGUAUGCGGAAUGCGUGGUGUAGCGGUGAAAUGCAUAGAUAUCACGCAGAACCCCGAUUGCGAAGGCAGCAUACCGGUGCACAACUGACGCUCAGGCACGAAAGCGUGGGUAUCGAACAGGAUUAGAUACCCGAGUAGUC
Molecule: ribosomal RNA, 439 nt
Filed under: uncultured bacterium
Lineage: Bacteria
Description: partial 16S ribosomal RNA
Rfam family: Bacterial small subunit ribosomal RNA
Source: RNAcentral